CCAAUAGCGUAUAUUAAAGUUGCUGCAGUUAAAAAGCUCGUAGUUGAAUUUCGGGACUAAUAUGUCGGUCGUGCCUCGGUACGUACUGGUAUUUUUGGUUUCUCCCUUCUGACGAACCUUGAUGUCAUUAAUUUGGUGUCUUGGGAAAUCAGGACUGUUACUUUGAAAAAAUUAGAGUGUUUAAAGCAGGCUCACGCUUGAAUACAUUAGCAUGGAAUAAUGAAAUAGGACGUUUGAUUCUAUUUUGUUGGUUUCUAGGAUUGACGUAAUGAUUAAUAGGGAUAGUUGGGGGCAUUAGUAUUCAAUUGUCAGAGGUGAAAUUCUUGGAUUUAUUGAAGACUAACUACUGCGAAAGCAUUUGCCAAGGAUGUUUUCAUUAAUCAAGAACGAAAGUUAGGGGAUCGAAGACGAUCAGAUACCGUCGUAGUCUUAACCAUAAACUAUGCCGACUAGGAAUCAGACGAUGUUAAUUUUUUAAUGACUCGUUUGGCACCUUACG
RNAcentral lists this unclassified non-coding RNA (499 nucleotides) under uncultured Glomus. Its description in RNAcentral is "SSU rRNA". It matches the Rfam family "Eukaryotic small subunit ribosomal RNA", at positions 591 to 1092 of the family's 1831-position model. Lineage: Eukaryota; Fungi; Glomeromycota; Glomeromycetes; Glomerales; Glomeraceae. The record is from RNAcentral.